AUAUAGAUAAAGAGGGAACCGCCCCCUGCCACGUUGGAUGGUCGUCCGCCCAUGUGGCAACUGGAGAUUGGCUGGAGGUGAUAUGCCACUUGGUUGUCCUCCCUCUUGUAUUUGUUUGAGGGCUUUUCUUCUUUCCUCCGAUAAACCAAACGACGACGUCGUCUGUUCCUUCUUCUUCUUUUUUUUUUUUUUUCUGUCUUUCAAAACGUAGCAGCAUCAAUCAAUGUCAAGAGGUCUUGAAGACUGGUUCCUAUACAGAACUCCAUUUUGUCCUCUAGACAAAACUCCAUUUUUUCCAUGAGACCCAGAAGUCUCUCCUCAAUUUCCGGCAUUUGAUUGUACUUGGGAGAGAUUGUAAUCUCGAUUGGAGGGUCCAGAUUUAUUUCUUCUUCUGAUGAGUGGGUGCUUAGAAUUUGAUGGACGAUGGGCUCGAGAUAGAAAAUGGAAGUUCUGUCUAUCUGCCCCUAAUUUGAUAUUUGACCCCAGGAAUGUGCAUGGCGCUUCAAGCAUUUUUAUCUCCUGAAUCAUAGGGCUACCUAAAUGUUUUGACCGGAUAUGAGGAUGGUUCCAUGGCCUGGUGGGAUGUAAGGAAUCCAGGGGUUCCAAUGAAUUCUGUUAAGUUUCAUAAAGAACCAGUUUUGAGCCUUUGUAUUGAUGGGGCAUGCAGUGGUGGUAUCUCUGGAGCUGCUGAUGAAAAACUUGUGUUUUUCUAUUUGGAUUAUCAAUUGGGAUCAGCACUGGUCAAGAAAGAAAUUACAUUGGAGCGACCUGGAAUAGCAGGAACAUCAAUCCGGCCAGAUGGCAAAAUUGUUGCAUUUGCUCGCUAGGAUCACCGGUUAGUCACUCUUGGACUUUUUUGUGAGCCGCCCUGUUCAGAAAAAUCAUCUUUGUUUUUUUCAUAUGGUAGCUCAUUAGUAAUUCAUGUAAUUUUUGUGAAUAUUAAAUAGGAGCAACCCUGAAACAAAAUUUAAGACCAAUUUUUAAGAUAAGUAUUUUUUAUUGUCUUUCACUUUGAUUGACCACAUUGAUUGACACAGUUGGCUUCAGGUUUGUCUUCAUUUUUUUCUGGUAUUUUUUGUGAUUUUUCCUUGGGCUGACAUUGGCAAGAAAAGUAGCUAUGCGAAAGAAGAAGAAUGAACAGCAGUUGAUGGCAGGUUUUUUUUUUUUACUAUUUGCUAUUUUUUCUUGCAUAGAUGUUUGUUGCUGUCGUGGCUCAUGAAUGGCAUUGUUUUGGGUUUUCUGAGUUUUUUAGAAUUAUAGAAAUAAAGCACUUUUCAUCUUUGUUUGUACAAUCUCUGUUUCUUAGGUCUCAAAAGUGUUUUUUUUUUUUUUGCUUUUCUCUGUUUUAUCUUCUGCUGCAAUUUUUUUUGUUGAAUAUGUGGUGAACUGUGAUAGAAAUAAAGCAUUUAGAAUUAUAGAAAUAAUGCUCUUUUUAUGCAGCGAAAGCGAACUGUGAUAGUUUGACAAAUGGAAAGAAUGAAAUGAGGCUCUUUUCUCAGUAUUUUUACUUUGUUUUGGUUUAGCUCACCUGUUUUAAAAUUGAUUAUUUUGCACCUUUCGGUAUAUUAUCAGAUGUAAGUCAUCCUUCAGAAAGACAAGGAUUGGUGGCUUCAUGUUAUCUUAGUGUUUUUGUCACAUUUUUAGAAAAGCUUUUUUUUUAAAAAUGAUUCUACUAUAUCUGCUACUUGGUUAGGGAUGAUGUGUAAUUAUCAUAUCAAAUUGUUUGGAAAGUUUGUUAUGUUGUUAUAGGGAGUACAAAAACUUUACAAAAAUUCUAAUUUAUUCUUUGUAAUUUUUCCCCUUCUGAUUUCUUGUGUAUUAGUGGAAAUCUUAUGUGAUUCUAUGUGUCCUUUCAUGCGGUGCAUUGCGUUGUUGUCCACUUGCUUGGGGUGGUUCGAAAUUCUCUCAUGUGUUCACCUAUGGUGCAACAAAGGUAACUUUAAUUGUAAGGCUCUUUAAUUCUUUCAUCAUUAAAGGUAUGUAGCUUGUUAACAUAUAGCUAAGCUACUGCAUCAGGGUUUGUAGGACUCAUUAAUCCUUUCAUCGUUAAAGCUACUCUCUCUAUGUAUACUCUGAAUUUGUUCUCAUUCUGCUUCUUUCUUAUUUCUGUUUAAUGGAAAACAGGCAUAGCAUGGAUCACAGCUUGUGUUGAAAUGAGUUUUAAGAAUGACAGAGAUUUUUAUUUGGCCUGUCCAAACUGUGAACGGCCUAAUAAUUUUCAAUACACAUAGGAAGUUUUAUGCAGAUAUUGUCACUCUGUUGUUCACCUUUUACCUAGGCAAAUAAAUGGCAGCAGCCACAAGAAUGAUCGAGAGAAUGCUGCAAAUAGGAUUGGCAGAUAUCGAUACAGCUUAGCCUAUUCCUCUUUGAGUAGUUAUUGGAGCCUUGAAAGCUGAUUUUGUUCCAAUCUUGACACUAAGUUCUUUCGUUCUUUUUAUAAUUUUAUCAAAUUGGAUUAUGUACUUUGAAUGUAAUUUAUAUUCUAUAAUGUGCUUCCUAAUUCAUGGUAUUUAAUAAACAUUUGGGAAGACCAUUUUAACUCCUGUAUUAAUUAUUAUUUUGACCUAAAACCAAGUUCUUGACA
This is a non-coding RNA of Coffea arabica (coffee), 2584 nucleotides long. The record is from RefSeq and is a predicted model, not a curated record. NCBI's taxonomy places the organism in Eukaryota, Viridiplantae, Streptophyta, Magnoliopsida, Gentianales, Rubiaceae.